GCCCCAUCUAUUUUCAUGCGAAAAAAAAUCCCAACACCCUAUUUUUUACAUGAGAAUUUCCCACGCCCCAAGAGGAGUGCCACCCCACUUCUUUGUUUCAUCCAUGAAAAAAAAAGAGGCACCCCAUCUCUCUUCUUCAUGUUGCCCAAAGCAAGGAGGGGGCGUCCAAGAGUUGGACGCCCCAACAUCCCACACGCCA
This 199-nucleotide long non-coding RNA is filed under the name Elaeis guineensis (African oil palm). RNAcentral describes it as "long non-coding RNA (EGUI_LNC044382)". The record is from RNAcentral. Lineage: Eukaryota; Viridiplantae; Streptophyta; Magnoliopsida; Arecales; Arecaceae.